UACAGAGGUGGCAAGCGUUGUUCGGAAUUACUGGGCGUAAAGGGCGCGUAGGCGGCCUUCUAAGUCAGACGUGAAAUCCCCCGGCUUAACCUGGGAACUGCGUCUGAUACUGGGAGGCUAGAGUGCGGGAGAGGGAUGCGGAAUUCCAGGUGUAGCGGUGAAAUGCGUAGAUAUCUGGAGGAACACCGAUGGCGAAGGCAGGUCUCUGGGCCACUACUGACGCUGAGAAGCGAAAGCAUGGGGAGCGAACAGG
Molecule: ribosomal RNA, 253 nt
Filed under: uncultured bacterium
Lineage: Bacteria
Description: partial 16S ribosomal RNA
Rfam family: Bacterial small subunit ribosomal RNA
Source: RNAcentral